UACGUAGGGUGCAAGCGUUGUCCGGAAUUAUUGGGCGUAAAGAGCUCGUAGGCGGUCUGUCGCGUCUGCUGUGAAAACUCAGGGCUUAACCCUGAGCUUGCAGUGGGUACGGGCAGACUAGAGUGCGGUAGGGGAGACUGGAAUUCCUGGUGUAGCGGUGAAAUGCGCAGAUAUCAGGAGGAACACCGGUGGCGAAGGCGGGUCUCUGGGCCGUAACUGACGCUGGAGGAAGCGGAAAGCAUGGGGAGCGAACAGGA
RNAcentral lists this ribosomal RNA (257 nucleotides) under uncultured bacterium. RNAcentral's name for it is "partial 16S ribosomal RNA". It matches the Rfam family "Bacterial small subunit ribosomal RNA", at positions 524 to 777 of the family's 1533-position model. The record is from RNAcentral.